RNAcentral lists this ribosomal RNA (253 nucleotides) under uncultured bacterium. Its description in RNAcentral is "partial 16S ribosomal RNA". It matches the Rfam family "Bacterial small subunit ribosomal RNA", at positions 524 to 776 of the family's 1533-position model. The record is from RNAcentral.
UACGUAGGCAGCAAGCGUUGUUCGGAAUUACUGGGCGUAAAGAGUGUGUAGGCGGUGCUCUAAGUUCGGUGUGAAAUCUCCCGGCUCAACUGGGAGGGUGCGCUACAAACUGUCUGACUAGAGUGUGGGAUGGGUAAGUGGAAUUCCUGGUGUAGCGGUGAAAUGCGUAGAUAUCAGGAGGAACACCGGUGGUGUAGACGGCUUACUGGACCAUAACUGACGCUGAGACACGAAAGCGUGGGUAGCAAACAGG